Molecule: ribosomal RNA, 253 nt
Filed under: uncultured bacterium
Lineage: Bacteria
Description: partial 16S ribosomal RNA
Rfam family: Bacterial small subunit ribosomal RNA
Source: RNAcentral
UACGAAGGGGGCUAGCGUUGCUCGGAAUUACUGGGCGUAAAGCGCACGUAGGCGGCUUCUUAAGUCGGUGGUGAAAUCCUGGAGCUCAACUCCAGAACUGCCUUCGAUACUGUCGGGCUAGAGUCCGGAAGAGGCGAGUGGAAUUCCUGGUGUAGCGGUGGAAUGCGCAGAUAUCAGGAGGAACACCGAUAGCGAAGGCAGCUCGCUGGGACGGUACUGACGCUGAGGCGCGAAAGCGUGGGGAGCAAACAGG